This 614-nucleotide ribosomal RNA is filed under the name Saccharomyces cerevisiae (brewer's yeast). RNAcentral's name for it is "eukaryotic LSU rRNA". It matches the Rfam family "Eukaryotic large subunit ribosomal RNA", at positions 65 to 664 of the family's 3401-position model. Lineage: Eukaryota; Fungi; Ascomycota; Saccharomycetes; Saccharomycetales; Saccharomycetaceae. The record is from RNAcentral.
CCAACCGGGAUUGCCUUAGUAACGGCGAGUGAAGCGGCAAAAGCUCAAAUUUGAAAUCUGGUACCUUCGGUGCCCGAGUUGUAAUUUGGAGAGGGCAACUUUGGGGCCGUUCCUUGUCUAUGUUCCUUGGAACAGGACGUCAUAGAGGGUGAGAAUCCCGUGUGGCGAGGAGUGCGGUUCUUUGUAAAGUGCCUUCGAAGAGUCGAGUUGUUUGGGAAUGCAGCUCUAAGUGGGUGGUAAAUUCCAUCUAAAGCUAAAUAUUGGCGAGAGACCGAUAGCGAACAAGUACAGUGAUGGAAAGAUGAAAAGAACUUUGAAAAGAGAGUGAAAAAGUACGUGAAAUUGUUGAAAGGGAAGGGCAUUUGAUCAGACAUGGUGUUUUGUGCCCUCUGCUCCUUGUGGGUAGGGGAAUCUCGCAUUUCACUGGGCCAGCAUCAGUUUUGGUGGCAGGAUAAAUCCAUAGGAAUGUAGCUUGCCUCGGUAAGUAUUAUAGCCUGUGGGAAUACUGCCAGCUGGGACUGAGGACUGCGACGUAAGUCAAGGAUGCUGGCAUAAUGGUUAUAUGCCGCCCGUCUUGAAACACGGACCUCCUGUGUGAGGGAACCCCCCCUAAA